ACACUCUCUCUCUCUCUCUCUCUCUCUCUCUCACACACACACACACACACACACACACACACACACACACACACACACACACACACACACACACACACACACACACACACACACACAAGCAGCAGCUCUCGGCUCUUGCAGCGCAGAAACGCUGUGCUCUGUGAGUGCGGCAGGAGGCGGAGAAGGAGAAAGGCUGCUAUGUGAACCGAAGAGAAGGAAAUUCUUGUGUGUGUUUUGGAAUGCGAUUGCCCCAGGGGAGACCUCGUGACAAAAAUGAGCUGGAGAAUAAAAUAGAGGGGUGAGUUUAGAGAGAGGGAAAAAAGCAGGGGGCGCGUUUCCCCUUCCUCUGUUUCCUCUUUACUGCGAGAAUAACACACACUUACACACACUUAAACACACACACACACACACACACACACACACACACACACACGCACGCACGCACGCACGCACGCACGCACGCACGCACACACACACACACACACACACACACACACACACACACACACACACACACACACACACAGAGGAGUAAAUGGUUGCAAUCAUCAAAAAUCUCCGAGUUUAAUGAAUGAAAACGUUUGUCAGAAAAUACCAAUGAAAAUACCAACGUUUGUUAGAAACACCAAUGAACUCAUUAUUAUUUUUUUUUUUAUUAUUAUUAUUAUUAUUAUUAUUAUUAUUAUUAUGGUGGUUGUUGUUGUGGAAAUAUUACAAAUGUGAUGUUUAAACAUCCUUAUUUUAAAUUGUAAAACAUAUACCACGGCAGUAUUAUAUUUAUUUUUAAUACAUGUAUGAAUGAAUUUCAUUUAUACAUUGAUUUUUUUUUUCAAAGCAAAAUACCUGAUUAAUUUGAGCCUCUUUAGUUCAAAUAGUUUCCAUCAGGGGGCACACAUGAGACACGUUAUCUGUGCAUUGUUUCAGUCAGUGGGCCAGGAGAAAGACUGGCAUGACACUUUCGUUUCAUUUGAAGAACUCUAAUUCUUGGUUUCAUUUCAAAAGGUCCAAUCUUUUUUUUAUUUAUUAACUAUUAGACAUUAUUCCAAAACCAUUAAAAUGUAUUUAUAAAAUGCAAUAGAUUUAAUAGAUAAGGUAUGUAGUAUGGGAAGAAAAGAGAUCCACAAGCCUGGGAGUUUACUGUGUUUCAUUCCUUUUGCCCAAAAAAUAUUUAGUACAUACAUGUAUCUAAUUAUUCUGCUGUUAUUUUUGUUGUGUAACCAGCUACUGCACUGACAACACUUUUGCAUGCCUUCCCGAAACACCUUCAAAGAUACUUUAAAGAACAUGUGCAAUGAACAUGUUUAAUUUACAAAAAAUAUCUCUACAGAAAAUUAAGGGUGCUUAUUUUGUUUGUUCAAAAUGAAUUAUUAACCUUAAUUUUUAGAUGAGGAAAGAAUGACAGUAUUGCACAUUAUCAAUGUACUGUUAACCAUCAUGCAGAAUGGUUUAGGAUUAAGCAUGUUUAGAAAUUUAAAUGCCUUUAAAUGUUCGUGUUAGCUAAACUAAAACAUGCAUUUCAUAAAUACCACCUUAUAUCUGCAAUCAUCAUCAAACAUCUUCACACCUCACAUGGAGAUUUCACUGUCUCCAGUUAAUGUAACAGCAUGAUAUUACAAAAUACUAUCAGAAAAAUUGUGAAAACACUGGGGGAUGUUUGUUCAUUGUAUAAAAUACUUUGAUAUAAGGAAUGACCUCUAAUAUUGUCUAAUGUGAAAUAUAUUGCUUUUUUGAAUGGACUUAACUGCUACAUGCAUAUAAGAAAUACUAAGGUCUCAGUAUUCACUGUUUUUUACCUGUUAGAUCUGAUCUGACAGUUUUCAUUACUGUCCUCACCAAAAUAGCAAACUAUGUCUAUGCAAGUAAAUAAAUCUUGCAUUUUUAAACGAACUUCAUGUUUUGAUCGAUUUUAACAUCAAUUAAUGUAAAAUAUCUGAACUUGUGAAGGUUGUCACAGAAUUUAAAUCAAAAAAAUCAUUUUCUGAUCUGCAAAGAGCCAUGCAAAUGGCUUGUCUCAAUUGUCACUUUUCUAUAGUUGCCUUUACCAGGAAAAAAACCUUUUUGUUAAAAGUGUACUGUUGCAGGAGAAUGUUCACGAUAACUCCUGCCUAGCAGUUAAUCUUACACAAAAAGCAAGUCAGUUGUGAAACAAUUACUAAUACCAUAUCUGAUCGCACUGCAAUUACAGUCUAUGAAAGUCUAUGAGUGCUGUCAGACAUGUCACAUUUCCCCCGAGAGAGCUGCUAAUGGAUCCAGUGCCUCAAUUGACAUAAAGACAAGAAUACCAGUGAUUUAUAAUAUAGAAUAUGUCAAUUAAAGUACCUCACUCCUGCUUUCACACCGAAAAGCCCUCUAUUAUGGAACAAGGCCUAAAAUGGUUACAUUUUCAUGUUAAUUAUGUUCAGAAGUCUGCUGCAAAUCUGAAAUCACAAUGGAAGGUGUUUUAUACUCUUAUUCUCUGCAUGAAUUUCAAUUUGAAUUCAGUUACACUCUAUCUGUUUUGGGGGGGGGUUUUGGUGUGUAUUUUUUUAAAUAUAAAGGGUUUGAUUGUUAUAUACAUGUAGUUCAGCUGAAAAUAAAUGUAACGGAGUUAUGGUAAUGAUUUGAGAUUUUUCUUUUUUUUAUGUUGAAUCGCUCAUCCUCGGAGACCAUGUGAGCUCCUGAAGAAGAAUAGCUGUUAGUAAUCGCCCACGCGCACAAAUGUGAAAUAUUUUAAUGAGCAAUCUGUCUCAUUUUGAAUAUUAUCAAGCCAAUCCAUUUCUACAAAAUUAUCCCUCAUAUUCAAGUCACUUAGAGAAAUCAGUCACUUAGUAUUCUUGCAAAUUCCCAUCUUACACUGCAUUAGGGUUCUAGAGACACAAUAACAUUGUAAUACAUUACUAAUUGCAGUUCCUUUCAUGACCCUUCUAGGUGCUGUCAUGUCCUGGUGAACGUGGAUCACCAGACACCGAAGAGGUUGGACAGGGAGAAGACUGAGACUCAGCACAUGCAAGCAACAUUCAGCCAUCAGGAAAUACUCCUUUCUCCCAGACUGAGUUCAGAGGGCUCAUAUUCCAGUUUCAUUUGAUACGUGAUUAUGCCAUCUUCUAGCUCUCAGUGCAUGAGAAUGCCAAGAUCGAAGACUGAAGAUGACUCCAUUUUACAACGAAGGCUGUUUCUGUGAUACUGGUUUGCUCAUGAGCUGCUCAGUAGUCAGUGUAGAUCCUGUGUUGCAAUCAGCAGCUACAUCUGGCUACUGGGUCUCUGAUGGCAUUCUGUGCUUCCUGUUGGCACAUUCCAUUCAGCUUGUGUGGUAUGCUGACUUUGACCUGUCAUUCACAAAAUAGCACUCUCUCUGUAUUAGAAGGGCUGAAGACAUUUCCUUCUCUCAAUUUUUUUUUAGUUGCCCAUAAGACUUUCCGAUUGUGACCUUUUCAUACAUCUCCAUUAGUUUAUUGUGUAUCUGGUUUAUUGUUUCUCUAAAUAAUUUGACACACACUCUGCAUGCAGCGGUGUUGUUGAAGCAACUAGAAAUUAUUUCAAACUUUGUUUUGACGUGGUGGUAUUGUCCGAUGAAUGGAUCCAUCCACUGUCUCUCGGCUGACUGUUGAAGAUGCAGUUUGAGUGAUUUGAUGACAAAGGACAAGGCAAGAUGUCACAUUCUUUGUGUGAUUAGGCUGUCAUAGUGGCUGGAUUUGUGUGAAUGCCUUCAGUUGCUGACGGCUGAGAAAUAAUGAAUGUGAAUCUUUUGCACAUGCAGAAGCCCAUCACUUUGCGAGGGCGAAUGAUGAAUUCUUUUGUGCUGUCCCGAACCUGGCAUACAAUGUAGAUUUCUGUGUGGUACAAUCUACAGCUACAUUGUCUGCUGGGUUUCAGGCUGGCCAAAAAUGCUCCUUGGUUUAUUAUAUGAAUAGGUAAGUAAAUAACCGUUUUUUAAAUGUUUAAAGUAAAUCUUGAGAACACAAUAAAGAAAAAAGAAAUGAAACAUACCCUGGAGUGUUUCUCAUUAUUUUUGGAGGCCCCUGUACAUGAACAAGAAUUCUAUUUGAACACACUUGGUUUCAGUGAUGAAAUUUGUAGGGCAGCACACCCCUGACAGACUGUCACAAUUUUGCUAAGGACAAAAAUAGAAUCUUGCAUAUGACAACAGUGUGCUCUAUCCUUAUCACCAUUAUUAAUCUGGAAGAUCCUUUUCCCAGAACACACACUGAGGUGCUGUCUCAGAGUCUCCCUCACACACAAACUGAAUGAAAAAUAAGUGGCUAGAAAAAAAUAGCUUUACUCUAAAAGGUGACACAAAACAAUAAUUUGCCCUCAAUUUCUCCCUCGCAAGGAGUUGGGGUAUUGUCUUAUUAAUAUCAAGACUUACAGUCAAACAAAGACUAAUGAAGAAUCUCUGUAUCUAUAGAGAAAUUCAUCUAUCAGACACAGUCACAGUAUUGAUGCAAUACUUCCUAGGAGCACAGAUCAGUUUUUCUCGACAGCAUUGUAUACAUUUCAGUGUCCAUCUUUCAAUUCAAUUAUAUCGGAAUAUAGCUUAUUUUCCACACUUUUUCUGCAUCAUUUUAAUUAGUUUAUUACAUUACUAAGCAAUACUGGGACUAUCAAGACAACAAAUCAACAAAAAUAAUAAACAGAGAACAUAACAUGGCCUUAAUGAACACCAUGGUGCUCCUGUUUCCCAUUAGAGCCUAAAUGAACACUGUUAAUUUAGCAAACAAUAUGGUUCCCAGUAGUAGCUCCACAUUUGCGAGCCUGUGCCGUAUAUCAUUCAUUCUUUUGUGCUUGGAUAUGGCGUAUGCCAAAUGGCAGCUAGCAAAAAGCCAGGACAGCAGGGCAUGCACUAAUGAUCAAGCCCAGGUGUUUCCAAUAAUGUCGCUUCCCCUCACCGUACUGCUUGGACAGCAGGAAUGUCAAAGUCAAUGCAGGUGGUCAUGGGGCCGCAUGUGCUCUAUACAGGGUCCAGCCAGAAAAAACUGGAAUCACUUCAAUAAAAAGAAGGAUACAGUCAGGUCUGAUCCAUUGCUGGGCUGUUUCCCCUCAAUGCUGCCUCACCCAUGAGGCACACGUGACUUUUAGACUAUUGGAUUUUUUAUUACUAACUAAAUUCAGUAUGCUGCUAGAAGCUGGUGUCACUA
Tachysurus fulvidraco (yellow catfish) is the source of this 5114-nucleotide long non-coding RNA. RefSeq lists it as uncharacterized. The record is from RefSeq and is a predicted model, not a curated record. The transcript has 4 exons. NCBI's taxonomy places the organism in Eukaryota, Metazoa, Chordata, Actinopteri, Siluriformes, Bagridae.